RNAcentral lists this ribosomal RNA (253 nucleotides) under uncultured bacterium. RNAcentral's name for it is "partial 16S ribosomal RNA". It matches the Rfam family "Bacterial small subunit ribosomal RNA", at positions 524 to 776 of the family's 1533-position model. The record is from RNAcentral.
UACAGAGGUCUCAAGCGUUGUUCGGAUUCAUUGGGCGUAAAGGGUGCGUAGGCGGCGCGGUAAGUCGGGUGUGAAAUCUUGGAGCUUAACUCCGAAACUGCAUUCGAUACUGCCGUGCUUGAGGACUGGAGAGGAGACUGGAAUUUACGGUGUAGCGGUGAAAUGCGUAGAUAUCGUAAGGAAGACCAGUGGCGAAGGCGGGUCUCUGGACAGUUCCUAACGCUGAGGCACGAAGGCCAGGGGAGCAAACGGG